AUUCAGUUGAGAGAGAAACUGUCUCUCUGGAGCUGAAGAGGAAAGGAGAGAGAAGUGUGGCUGAAUCUAAGAUCAAUUCCCAAGGCAAUAGCCUGUGAAGAUCCUUUGGCUGUGGUGAGGAUUUAUUUUUCAAUCAUCUGCUGGUCAGGGAUUGAGGAGCUGUCUUCAACUUGGAGGAGUUAUCAUCUGUGGACAUUUCACCUUGGAUUCCUGUUUUGGCUCCCAGAGACUCUAUUUUUGACACCAUUGGUAAAGAGUUCAGUCUAAUAAGGGGAAUGGCAUGGCAGUGCAGUGAGCAGUGGAAAUGAAGUAGCUCAUCCUCCUACCCUCCUUCGGGAAUGGAAGAGAAGAAAGCCAUCCCUUAUGAAAAAGAAUUUUUAAAAAGAAAUAAAAGGAAACAUAUGAGGAAAGAAAAGCCAUCAAAGAUGAUCAAAGCAUCAAAAAAAGAAUCUGAUGCAAUGCUCCAUUCCUGUUUUCCAACUUCUGCAAAGGAGAAGUGAAAGCAGAUGCUUUUCCUGGCAAGUACUACAGUGUGGGAAGUAUGAUGCCACCUGAGAAGCAACACAAACCUAGAUACAAAUCAUUCUACUCAAGUCUUGGAGCUGUCCUCAAAGAAAAACAAACUUGGCACUAGACAUAAACUAAAUGAGUGCCAAGAGCUGCCAGCACAUUAAGACCAAAGCCCAACAGAAACAGAGCCCCUCGGCAACUUCUAGAGGGAAUAUCAGCUAAGGAGGAAAGAGAAUUGGAGUUGUG
Molecule: long non-coding RNA, 756 nt
Filed under: Monodelphis domestica (gray short-tailed opossum)
Lineage: Eukaryota; Metazoa; Chordata; Mammalia; Didelphimorphia; Didelphidae
Description: lncRNA (ENSMODG00000036008.2)
Source: RNAcentral